UACGGAAGGUCCGGGCGUUAUCCGGAUUUAUUGGGUUUAAAGGGAGCGCAGGCGGGAGCUUAAGCGUGACGUGAAAUGUAGCCGCUCAACGGCUGAACUGCGUCGCGAACUGGGUUUCUUGAGUGGGUACGACGUCAGCGGAAUUCGUGGUGUAGCGGUGAAAUGCUUAGAUAUCACGAAGAACCCCGAUUGCGAAGGCAGCUGACGAGUCCUCUACUGACGCUAAAGCUCGAAGGUGCGGGUAUCGAAC
Molecule: ribosomal RNA, 250 nt
Filed under: uncultured prokaryote
Description: partial 16S ribosomal RNA
Rfam family: Bacterial small subunit ribosomal RNA
Source: RNAcentral